Molecule: ribosomal RNA, 387 nt
Filed under: uncultured bacterium
Lineage: Bacteria
Description: bacterial SSU rRNA
Rfam family: Bacterial small subunit ribosomal RNA
Source: RNAcentral
AUUGAACGCUGGCGGCAUGCCUUACACAUGCAAGUCGAACGGCAGCACGGGAGCAAUCCUGGUGGCGAGUGGCGAACGGGUGAGUAAUAUAUCGGAACGUGCCCAGUCGUGGGGAUAACGUAGCGAAAGCUACGCUAAUACCGCAUACGAUCUAUGGAUGAAAGCGGGGGAUCGCAAGACCUCGCGCGAUUGGAGCGGCCGAUAUCAGAUUAGGUAGUUGGUGAGGUAAAGGCUCACCAAGCCGACGAUCUGUAGCUGGUCUGAGAGGACGACCAGCCACACUGGGACUGAGACACGGCCCAGACUCCUACGGAGGCAGCAGUGGGGAAUUUUGGACAAUGGGCGCAAGCCUGAUCCAGCAAUGCCGCGUGCAGGAUGAAGGCCUUC